AACGUAGGUCACAAGCGUUGUCCGGAAUUACUGGGUGUAAAGGGAGCGCAGGCGGGAAGACAAGUUGGAAGUGAAAUCUGUGGGCUCAACCCAUAAACUGCUUUCAAAACUGUUUUUCUUGAGUAGUGCAGAGGUAGGCGGAAUUCCCGGUGUAGCGGUGGAAUGCGUAGAUAUCGGGAGGAACACCAGUGGCGAAGGCGGCCUACUGGGCACCAACUGACGCUGAGGCUCGAAAGUGUGGGUAGCAAACAGG
RNAcentral lists this ribosomal RNA (253 nucleotides) under Faecalibacterium prausnitzii. Its description in RNAcentral is "partial 16S ribosomal RNA". It matches the Rfam family "Bacterial small subunit ribosomal RNA", at positions 524 to 776 of the family's 1533-position model. Lineage: Bacteria; Bacillati; Bacillota; Clostridia; Eubacteriales; Oscillospiraceae. The record is from RNAcentral.